This 490-nucleotide ribosomal RNA is filed under the name uncultured bacterium. RNAcentral describes it as "partial 16S ribosomal RNA". It matches the Rfam family "Bacterial small subunit ribosomal RNA", at positions 28 to 507 of the family's 1533-position model. The record is from RNAcentral.
GAUGAACGCUAGCGAUAGGCUUAACACAUGCAAGUCGAGGGGCAGCAUGGUCUUAGCUUGCUAAGACUGAUGGCGACCGGCGCACGGGUGCGUAACGCGUAUGCAACUUGCCUCACAGAGGGGGAUAACCCGUCGAAAGACGGACUAAUACCGCGUACACUCCAUCUUGGGCAUCCAAGGUAGAGGAAAUGAAAUUCGCUGUGAGAUAGGCAUGCGUCCCAUUAGCUAGUUGGUGAGGUAACGGCUCACCAAGGCGACGAUGGGUAGGGGAACUGAGAGGUUGAACCCCCACACUGGUACUGAGACACGGACCAGACUACUACGGGAGGCAGCAGUGAGGAAUAUUGGUCAAUGGGCGAGAGCCUGAACCAGCCAAGUCGUGUGAAGGAUGACUGUCUUAUGGAUUGUAAACUUCUUUUAUACGGGAAUAACAAGAGUCACGUGUGACUCCCUGCAUGUACCGUAUGAAUAAGCAUCGGCUAACUCCGUG